This is a long non-coding RNA of Bubalus bubalis (water buffalo), 6635 nucleotides long. RefSeq lists it as uncharacterized. The transcript has 2 exons. The record is from RefSeq and is a predicted model, not a curated record. NCBI's taxonomy places the organism in Eukaryota, Metazoa, Chordata, Mammalia, Artiodactyla, Bovidae.
AAAGUGAAAGUGAAGUCUCUCAGUCGUGCCCGACUCUUAGCGACGCCAUGGACUGCAGCCCACCAGGCUCCUCCGUCCAUGGGAUUUUCCAGGCAAGAGUACUGGAGUGGGGUGCCAUUGCCGUCUUCGGUUCUAAUUGAACUACCGAAAUUAGGUCGAAGACUUCCAACAUCUGCUGUUCUUACAAGAAAGAAAGCUACUCUUCACCUCUGAAAUGUACUGUGGUAUUUAUAGUAUUGGCUUGAGAGCACGCCACAGGAGAUAAAAGGAUGUUAGCAUGCAGUUCUUCACUCCAUCACAGUGUGUUCAUGGUGACAUUCAGAUGAACUUGAUUACAGGCUGAUCGGUAGACUGACCUCUGGUUGGGUACAGAAACAGAGGUUUUUCAUUCUGGCAUUAGAGUUUCAUUAUGUUCUGGGAAUGAAGAGCAAUUGAUAUAUUUUUUUUUAACUAUGGGGUUUAUUUUUCUAAAUAUGGGUUGAUUGAUCAGUCAGUUGAUUGGGGAUGCCCUUAAAAGAAAAUUUAAGUUUUCCCACUGUGAACCUUGAAAGAUCAGAGAAGUUCAUUUAUUAAAUUCUCUCCUAGGAGAACAAAACUGCUCUCCCCUGACUCUAUUUAUCUUUGAUUUUUCAGAGAGUCUUGAUUGGUGGUUGUGCCUCAGCUAGAAUUUGUGGGACUUUGGUUGCUAUAUAGUCAGCAUUUAUAAAAUCUGAAGUAUCAUAAAUAAAGUUAUUUAUUUAAUUAUACUACCAGUGUUUUUUACUGGUCUGAUUAUUUGGUGCGUUCAUGAAAGCUGAUGGUGGCAUGAGAGUAAAAUAGGACCCGCGCUCAUCUAGCUGCAGCUGAACAAGUGCUUUGAUAGCUGGCAAGCCUUUCCAUUAGGGUUAUGCUUAAAGGAAGUAAUAGAAUUAUGUUGAUUAUUUUCUUUAUGAAAAUAAACAUGUUCUUCUAAGGAAGUUGAAAAAGUGUGCUGUAGAUGUUGGUGUCAGACAGGUCUGACUAACCUCCCAGUGGUGUAACCCACAGUGAGGUGACCCAGGGCCAAACGCAGGGCUCCUUUCUCCUUUACGGUUCCGUCCUUUGUGGAAGGAAGCCCUGGAGCAAGGACAGACGUGUGUGCCAUUGACCAGUAGAGGCUCACUUUGGAUCCCAUGGUAGCUGAUGUGAACUCUUUUCACAUUUUGCCUUUUUUCUUUUCUUUUUUUUUUAACAGCUUACUUUUCUCAACUUUUUGCUGUCGUUACAAACCAGUUACUAGGCUCAGGGGCCAACAGUAAUUUGCUUAUUGGAGCCAGAUGCAAGGAGUUUUCUAUUCCUUAUCCCAAAUGUUGCCUGUUACAGGAAGUUACUCUCUCUCAGUCAUGUCUUAUAUAAGCCAUGUCUUUUAGGGAUCUUAAAUCACUCAGAACUUUCCAUUUCACUUGAAAUGAGAAACCAUGGCAACAAAAAGGGCAGGAGAUUCCAAAAGGUAUACGUCUCUGAGGGUUUGCUUUACUCUGUGCCAGUAACUUUAGUUGAAAAUGGUUAAUGCAUCUAUUACUCAAGUUCAAGCCCAGAUAUUCAAGUGCUUUGGUUGAUCUGUCCUGGGUAUUUCUAUAUUCUUGUUACUAUUAAUGAUACUGAGGGAGUCCCUAUAACAGGCAGCAUUGCUAACCCAUAUUUUUCUAAUGUUAGAAAAGGGCUUUUCAUCUCCAUUCUUCCUUUCUCCUGCUUACCAAAAUUUUCUAAAGAAUGUCUUUUUACAUCUUGCCCAGUACUCAUAUCAGACAUGGGAGUAUGAUCCUGAGAGUGGAGAUGGGUAAUGAGAGAGAGAAGUCAGCAUGAAGGCCCUUUUGGUACUUGGAACCAAAUAAUACUGACUUUAGUUCUUUCCUGUUGGAUGCCGAAUAGAAAAAUGUACUUACUGAGCCUUUUGAUGCAGUGACUUCUGGCCUCCCUGGGACUGAGGCACCUCGGCCUUGCACUCCCACCAUGAAUUUUUCUGUUUCAUUGUUACUGAUCUCAGCCUGAUGAAAAGGACUUUAAAGAACUGGACUAGCCUUUUUGGUUUUCUAAUACCUCAUGUUUGAUCACUAGCCAGAUAUGAUUUCUUGGAAACGGACUGCAUUUUCUAACUUGCAGUAUGAAGCUAUUGGAGGAUGAAUGGCCAUGUCUCGUGUUACACUGAAUUUUGUGGCAAAUGUAAAGAGGAAAUAGAUUCUACUGGGAAUUAAAAUGAUUGUGUUCCAUUCUUCUUUGGGGGUAGGAGUUGUUUAGCCUGGUCUCCAAAAAAUACAGCUUUUCAUCAUGAUCUUUAUAAACUAAUACUACUCCUUUAUGAACCUGCAUACCCAUAAGUUUUAUAGGGCAAAAGAAAAUGAGGAACCAGUGACUCUGAGGAUGUUACUGGGUAAGAAGCUGAGACAGCUGAGCCAUGUCCUGAGGCAUCUUUCUUAUUUUCUUUGUGUCUACUGCAAAAUGUCACUUUCAUAUCAAAGUGUUUGCAUCUAUUCCUAUCCUAUUAGCUCUUAGAGAGGAAGAGAAAUCAAUUCCAAUCACACUUUACCAUGAUGGAAGAUGUUUCCUCAUGAAAAAAAAUGCCAAUACAGAUUUUUAAAAAUCUAUUCCAAAUGCACUUUUUAAUUUUUUGCUUCUAAAAUGGCUUCUUGGAACCAGGUUUAUUGUAUUUGUACUUCAUUUUUGUUCUCAUCUAAAUGUGCAUUUUCUGACUGUAUAGAAGAAGCUUUGUUAUGUAAUUUAAUAAUAAAUUAGAAAUCUGAAUAGCGUGUCUGUGGUUCUUUGUAUCAAAACAGUACCAUUGAGGCAGUUUGGGAGAGUGAUUAUGACAUCUUUGGUGUUAAUAAGUAUUUCUCACAGCAUUCCGAAACCCAAGGUGAAAUAAUAUGGACACUGGAGCUAUCAAACUAUCAUUCAAAAACAUCAUAGGAACAUUAAUAAUUUAGCCCAAGAAGUGAAGGAGAGUCUCCUAUCAGAGUGAAACUUCAGGAAGUAUGACAGAAAUGUCCAGUUGUGGAAUUUAGCAAGAAAAACAGGUUCUUGCCCUCCCUAAAGAAUGACAUUUUAUCCUAUAGAUCAGGAAUUGGUUCUCUACCCCCAGGAAAUUGAGAAUUCCUCAUUUCCCAUUGCCUCUCCAAACGUUGCCACUCGUGUGUUCUGCAUUCUUUUUAAAAAUAACAGUAAAAUUGAGAUAUAAUUCACAUACCAAAAAAUUCACCCUUUCGAAAUGUACUGGUGGAUGUUAGUAGGUUAGUUGUGCAGUCAGCACUACUGUGUGACUUUAGGACAUUUACAUCACCCUCAGAAGAAACGCGCUCCCCACCAGUAAUGACUCCGCAGCCCCCUGUAUCCCUUUGAUCUGACCACACUGUUUUUCCUUUGUGGGCCACUCCAAAUUUUCCCUCCCAUCCACUCACAUAGCCUCUAAAGCCACCUCUUUGGUUUUUUGACCCUUUUUUUGGCUUCCUAAUGUGUCCAGCCCUGUGAAUGUACACCUAUGUAGACAUACAUAAAAUCCAACACCACUUAGAGAGGGAGGCCUCCCUUUUACAGAUCGACAAAAGAGCACACAGGACUAAGUGCUCAAAGUCAGAGUGGACCGUUAAAAAAGGAUUUGAAUCUUGAGGGCUCUUUUAUUCAAAACCUUGCUGCAGUUCUGUCUUAGUUCUACAAAAUAUGUUUUAACUCAUGAUCAAGAAGCUAUAGAAGAACUACCAAUUUUGCCUGAUUUUACAGGCAAUGCAUUUAAAAUAUUUAAAGCCCAGUGGCUCAUUUUCAAGGAAUGCUAACUACUAGCCAAGUGGUUCAUAAAGGGUUCUCAUUUGUAAGUUAUUAUUUCUUUAUGAGAACUAAUUCACCGAAGUUGUAGGAAAAAAAAUUUUUUUUUAGUGUCUUUGAAUCAAACUUCCUGCCCAUUUCUUCUAGUUUAGAACCUCAGAGGUCUUCCUAGAGACUGAGAGCUGAGGCUGAUCCAGAAAAAGCACCUCAGGACGGUCCUCGGUCAGUGCCACCCAGACCAUGUUGUGUCUUUCCCUUCAGGUGGCGUGGCUUUCACAGUCUGCCAGCUCCUACUUAACCUGAAUGUUCCUUAGGAUCCGAGGUUCUCCCCCAUCAUGACUCCUCUUACCAGAGAUGCUUAGAAGUUUUUUUUAAAAAAAGGGAAUCUCACCAAAGGUGUUAGCUAUAAGGACAUUUUCUCUAAAGCAAGAGCCAUGAGAAAAACAAGUGUAUUCCUCCUCUUUCUGAAGACAGAUUUGCCGACUGAGUUGAAACAGAGAGUAAUACACUUCAGCCUGACACCUUCUGCUCCACUCGGCUAAGAUUUCCCAACUUUGGCAGAGCUGAUGAGCUUGCAAAGCUCUUUAUUACUAACUCUCUGAAGACACUUAAAAGCCAAGAAGAUUGGGAGCUGAAAGGCUGUCAUAACUUUCUGCUUAGAGGAUUCCCAGAGAUCCUCAACAGUGUUCUCAUCAUCCUUGUAAAACUGCCUACUAAUUUGUGAUCCUGAUCUGUGCUAUUCAUUUUCCCUCCUUUGAGAUAUACAGCUCUUUAGGAAACAGUCACUUUCUCUUAAUCAGUAUAUUUCUUUUAGAUUCUCUCAAACAUCCAGUGAAUCUUUUACUGGUGAAACUGCUUACAGUUUGAGGGAGAGCAGGCAACUAUGGUUGGGAGCUCCUUUUAACUCAGUGCCAAGAAAAUACAGUUUAAACAUAAUUAUUUCCUGCAAAGUGACAAGUUCUCUCUUAGUAAAUGUGGCACUUUUUUUUAAAACAGUUCUCCUCAUUAAGGAGAACACACACAGACUUCCCUGGUGGUCCAGUAGUUAAGACUCCAUGCUCCCAAUGCAGGGGGCACAGGUUUGAUCCCUGGUUGGUGUAAUAAGAUCCUGCAUGCUGCCAAAAAAAGAUAACAGUCUGAGAAUACAGCAUUUUGGGGGGUUUUGCCCUGUAUCAGUUCUGAGUCCUCUCCCGAAAUCUGGGGCCCUGUGAUUCAUUUCCAGACCGCACACAGCAGCCACCCUCUAGACAGGUGCCCUGCCUCCCAUCUAACCUCUCUCUGCCCACUCUGCACAUAGCUGCCUAGUUUAUCUUCCUAAACAAGUUCUAAUCUCUCAUCAUUCUGUUCAAGAAUAUUUGGCAGCUUCCUUCCAUCCUUACCAAUGUAUUAUAGCAGAUUAACAUGUGGAGUGUACAUGCAUGCAUGCAUACACACAUCACACAUACAAAAUCCUGUACUCUUAGUGAGGGAGCCUUCUUCUUUUACAUAUAAACAAGCCCAAGAGAUCAGGGUCCUAUAGCCAUCAGCUGCCCUUUGCCUAACCAGAGUUUCCUUCUCUCGCGAGAAUCAUUAGAGCCACCGGUUGCAAUGAUGGAAAGAACAAGGCUUGAAGUCAGAAAUCCUAUAUUCUGGCACUGGAUGUGAUGCUCUCAGACCAAGGGCAAGUCACUAUACCACUCUCAGUUCAGUUUUCUUACCUGCAAAAUGGACUCAAGCAACUUGAUGCAGUUGUUGAGAGCAAAUCUAAGAUAACAGUGGGACGAAAUUGCUCAGAAUGUUUUCAAGAAAUAGUGUGGGCUGCCCAGACAGUAAAGAAUCUGCCUGCAAUGCUAGAGACCUGGGUUCAAUCCCUGGGUCAAUAAGAUCCCCUAGAGAAAGGAAUGGCUACCCACUCCAGUAUUCUUGCCUGGAAAAUCCCAUGGAAGAGGAGCCCAGCAGGCUACAGUCCAUGAGUCACCGAGUCAGACACGACUGAGUGACUUUCACCUUCACUUCACAUAUAUAAAGAUGUUGAUAACAGCAUCGACUGUAAAAGAAAGAUGAAGGUGACCCAUGGCGAGAGAUGCCAAGCGUGGCUUUCCCAACCUGUUUGUGGUAAAGGAUUUGGUAAAUUUUCCUUUCUUGCAGACUUGCUGCUUCCAGCCCUGCUUCGCACCUUGGGACGUGACUUAGGCUUGUAGGUGUUGUUUUGCAGACCCCAGGUACAUAAGAGCUUCAUCCAAGUUCAUGUCUUUUUAACAAAGCAGUAGUGAAUUAAUAAGAAAUGCUUUAUCUUCCUAGACCUCUUUGUGACUCUAUUCUGGUCCUGCUCUUUGCUCCAACCCACUGAUGAGUUCAUAAAAAUUUCACAUAAGUUAAAAUCCAUCUCUCCAGGGGCUGGGUUCUAUCAGAUUAACAUUUAACUCCAAGGAAAUGUGGACAUUUGCCUUAAAGAAGUUCUUUAUCCCAGGGAAGGAUCUAUAUUGUUGUCAUUAUUUGAAUGUCAUUAAUUAUGCUGUGAAACUUUAUUUCAGCCUGAAACUCUGCAUCUUUCUGUUGAAAAUGGCAAAGUUUUAGGAAUCAGUUCAGUGGCUCAGCAUCUAAGCUUUUUGUUAUGCUUUUCCCCUCACAAAAUUAAUGUGUGUUUAUUACAGAAAUAAAGAUCAAGUAGAAAAAUAAAAAUAAAAACUACAUAUUUAUCCCCAACAUUCUGUGAUAAUUGGCUGUUAAUACAUGGAAUGUUUUUCAUUUUUAAAAAUAUCUUAAAACACAUGCAUAUUUUAAAAAUCGGGAUCCAAUGGUAUGUAUUAUCUUGUGGCCAGGUUUUUUCAUGCAAUACAGCAUAUAGAGCCUCCAAUGUCAUUAAAUUUUCAGCCACAGCA